Molecule: ribosomal RNA, 468 nt
Filed under: uncultured bacterium
Lineage: Bacteria
Description: partial 16S ribosomal RNA
Rfam family: Bacterial small subunit ribosomal RNA
Source: RNAcentral
GACGAACGCUGGCGGCGUGCUUAACACAUGCAAGUCGAACGGAAAGGCCCUGCUUUUGUGGGGUGCUCGAGUGGCGAACGGGUGAGUAACACGUGAGUAACAUGCCCUUGACUUUGGGAUAACUUCAGGAAACUGGGGCUAAUACCGGAUAGGAGCUCCUGCUGCAUGGUGGGGGUUGGAAAGUUUCGGCGGUUGGGGAUGGACUCGCGGCUUAUCAGCUUGUUGGUGGGGUAGUGGCUUACCAAGGCUUUGACGGGUAGCCGGCCUGAGAGGGUGACCGGCCACAUUGGGACUGAGGUACGGCCCAGACUCCUACGGGAGGCAGCAGUGGGGAAUAUUGCAGAAUGGGCGGAAGCCUGAUGCAGCAACGCCGCGUGCGGGAUGACGGCCUUCGGGUUGUAAACCGCUUUCGCCUGUGACGAAGCGUGAGUGACGGUAAUGGGUAAAGAAGCACCGGCCAACUACGUG